GGGACACUUCAUUAACUUGAGAAUCCCAUUCUAUCCCAAGUUCUUAUCACCGAAAGAUUCCUAACCCUAUAAAUAGACCUGUAAUUGGCAGUGAAUGAACACACAGAAAUUAGACAAUCACCAGAAAAGAGCUUGAGCAGACUUUCUUUGCCAGUGCCGUCAACACCACAGCUGUAUCACUAAAUUUCAGCUCCUCUGUCAUUGCCAUCGCCAAUCAACCAGAUACAAAUUACAAUACCCAGUUUUCCAUCAAUUUCCAGCCAUCAUACUCAGACCCUAAUGGAGCCUCAUUUUAAGCCAACAAAUCCAAGAAUACACAAAGAUUAAACAGAAAAUCAGAUGCAGAAAAUAGAGGAAAAACCGAACAUAGUGAAAUCAUAGCAAGCAUCAAUCAGUUUCUACUCGCCUACUGUCAGCCAAAUCAUCCCUCCAUCUCUGCCAAAACACCAACAAUUCAACUCCUACCAGACAGCCCAGGACCCAUAAUCAGACCAAAAAAAGAGGUUCAAAAAAACCGUUCAUCACCAAACCCAUUAAUCAUUGAAUCCAACCCACAUUUACAAAUAGAGAGAGCUAAAAGAGAAGCCAGCCACCAAACCACGCGCGGAUAACGGAAGCACUAAUCCUCACCACCAGAGCCAUCUCCAUUUCCAGUUGCCUCUAGCACCAAAACAGAGUCACACAAGUAGUCAAAAAAGGGGAACAGAAAAGAGAUUUUCUCUUUAAGAUUCCCAAUCGAGGUUGAUCUAGUUUGUUUUGAAGCUUCGAAAUUUGUGAGGAGGCAGCCAAGAAGAAAGGGGAAAACAUACCUAGCGGUGGUGGCCAUCAGAGCUGCAAAGAACAGAGAGAAAAUCGUGAUUUUGGACUCAGAUUUGUAGAAAUCCCGCUAGUUUUUGGAAAUCCAACUGGAACACGUUAAAGAGAAGACCAAAAAGAACUGUUUCGUAAAAUUUGGAGCCCAACCGGUGCCGGUGGGGCGGUGGCCUAAAUCUGGGAAGCCUUGAAGAACUGCGCGGUGCUUACUUGAAUGCUAGAGACAAGCGUAGAGGAGAUAAAUG
This 1058-nucleotide long non-coding RNA is filed under the name Durio zibethinus. RNAcentral describes it as "long non-coding RNA (DZIB_LNC000114)". The record is from RNAcentral. Lineage: Eukaryota; Viridiplantae; Streptophyta; Magnoliopsida; Malvales; Malvaceae.